This 497-nucleotide ribosomal RNA is filed under the name uncultured bacterium. Its description in RNAcentral is "partial 16S ribosomal RNA". It matches the Rfam family "Bacterial small subunit ribosomal RNA", at positions 28 to 507 of the family's 1533-position model. The record is from RNAcentral.
GAUGAACGCUGGCGGCGUGCUUAACACAUGCAAGUCGAGCGGACGGACGAGAAGCUUGCUUCGUUCAUGUUAGGGGCGGACGGGUGAGUAACACGUGGAUAACCUACCUAUAAGACUGGGAUAACUUCGGGAAACGGUAGCUAAUACCGGAUAAUAUAUUGAACCGCGUGGUUCGAUAGUGAAAGACGGUCUUGCUGUCACUUAUAGCUGGUUCCGCGCUGCAUUGGCUAGUUGGUCAGGUAACCGCUUACCAAGGCAACGAUGCAUAGCCGACCUGUGCGAGUGGUCGGCCCCGCCAGAGGGGGGACACGGACACAAGUGCUGAGAGAGGCAGCAGUCGCGAAUCGGCCGCAAAGGGGGAGAGCCUGACGGACCAGCGGCGCGUGAGUGAUGAAGGACUUCGGAUCGUAAUACUCUGUUAUUAGGGGAGAACAGAUGUGUAAGUAGCCGUGCAGAACUUGACGGUACCUGCUCAGAAAGCAACGGCUAACUACGUG